This 280-nucleotide ribosomal RNA is filed under the name uncultured Hyphomicrobiales bacterium. RNAcentral describes it as "uncultured Rhizobiales bacterium partial 16S ribosomal RNA". It matches the Rfam family "Bacterial small subunit ribosomal RNA", at positions 503 to 782 of the family's 1533-position model. The record is from RNAcentral. Lineage: Bacteria; Pseudomonadati; Pseudomonadota; Alphaproteobacteria; Hyphomicrobiales.
UUGUGCCAGCAGCCGCGGUAAUACGAAGGGGGCUAGCGUUGCUCGGAAUCACUGGGCGUAAAGGGCGCGUAGGCGGCUUGCCAAGUCGGGGGUGAAAGCCCGUGGCUCAACCACGGAAUGGCCUUCGAUACUGGCAGGCUUGAGACCGGAAGAGGACAGCGGAACUGCGAGUGUAGAGGUGAAAUUCGUAGAUAUUCGCAAGAACACCAGUGGCGAAGGCGGCUGUCUGGUCCGGUUCUGACGCUGAGGCGCGAAAGCGUGGGGAGCAAACAGGAUUAGA